RNAcentral lists this ribosomal RNA (402 nucleotides) under uncultured bacterium. RNAcentral describes it as "bacterial SSU rRNA". It matches the Rfam family "Bacterial small subunit ribosomal RNA", at positions 355 to 774 of the family's 1533-position model. The record is from RNAcentral. RNAcentral also lists the same sequence under 1 other name.
UGGGGAAUAUUGGACAAUGGGCGAAAGCCUGAUCCAGCCAUGCCGCGUGAGUGAUGAAGGCCUUAGGGUUGUAAAGCUCUUUUGUCCGGGAAGAUAAUGACUGUACCGGAAGAAUAAGCCCCGGCUAACUUCGUGCCAGCAGCCGCGGUAAUACGAAGGGGGCUAGCGUUGCUCGGAAUCACUGGGCGUAAAGGGCGCGUAGGCGGACUUUUAAGUCGGAGGUGAAAGCCCAGGGCUCAACCCUGGAAUUGCCUUCGAUACUGGGAGUCUUGAGUUCGGAAGAGGUUGGUGGAACUGCGAGUGUAGAGGUGAAAUUCGUAGAUAUUCGCAAGAACACCGGUGGCGAAGGCGGCCAACUGGUCCGAAACUGACGCUGAGGCGCGAAAGCGUGGGGAGCAAACA